Potamilus streckersoni is the source of this 77-nucleotide non-coding RNA. NCBI's taxonomy places the organism in Eukaryota, Metazoa, Mollusca, Bivalvia, Unionida, Unionidae. The record is from the annotation of a GenBank genome assembly.
GACCGCACCGGUAGUCUAGUUGUUAGAGCGUCCGCCUCGGAUGCGGUAGGUCGUGGAUUCGAUUCCCGGCCGAGUCA